GGUUUUGUCAUGUACAGCGAGCAGGGGGGUGGAUGAUGGCUGUUUAUGUCACAGAAAAAAGCAAAUGUCUGUACUUUAAACCACACGUUUCCCUGAAGGUAAACGGCUAAUUUAAGCUGGAAAAGUUUACGAAAAGUAAAAAAAAAAGAAAAAAAAAGCGAAAAAAGAAAACCAAUCUCUUGGGUGUUAUUGUGGCUAGUCUUAUCCUGCUCUCUUGCUCUACAGCUGUUCUAUAGUUCCAGAAGAGUUCAUUUUUAGAAGCUGGUAAUGGGUUGCUGUUACUGAUUGGCCUGUUGUUGAGGUUGUUUCCAUUCACCUUACAGGCACGUCUCUAUGUAAGAUUCUGCAAUGCACUGAACUUCUUUUUUUUUUUUUUUUUUUUUAAACCAUGAGCAGGUUGAAAUAAAAAAGGAUUGAAACACUGAGCCAGCUGUGAUAAUUUGGUCUAGUUCACCCUCUUUUGAUCAGAUGCAUUUUUUGAACAGUUUUCUCUAUGUAUAUACACCUUAAGAAAACUACAGGCUCUCUCUGCUGUAUGGAACACGUUAGCCUCGCUUUUUAUAUCAAAGGAAAGUUCCUCACGUACAGCAGUCCUAACUCCUUUUGUCGCACCUGUUCAAGUCACAAAGUGUUGAGGUCACAUUCACUUGUAAAUUCUGAUUGUUCUUAUCACUACUUAUUACUGUUAUUGAUAUUAAUUAUAGGAUGGCUGCUUUGACUCCCUACUAGCUUGACAACAGCAUUGUAAGAGUUAUGUUAAGUGUUAUUAAGCUUAAUAAUUAUAAACAGGAGGCCUAUCAGAGUCCUCUUGAGGAAUGAAUUUGGGAUUGUUUGAUAGGUUAAGUGACACUUUCUGAUGCCUCGAUCCCUACAUCUUAAAACCCAAAAUGGCUUCCCAGAUUGCUGUUGUGUUGAGAUUAUGGAGUGUCAAGAAUGCCACACUUUUGCAGUGUGUGAUUUUAAGUAUUGAAAAAAUAUGCGGUUAUGUUCCCUCUAAAGAACAUUAAAAGUUUAAUUUUUUAAGCAAUUCAUUAGUAUACUCAGUCAUUUUUUAAAUGAAAUAAAUUUGUUGUUAUUUUAUGAGAGUGGCCAAUCAGAGCUUGUGUCUUGACAAACUCCUUAGACAAAGAGGACAUGGGGUUAAAUGGAAGGAAAGAGGAACAUUUAGUGUCUUGGCAGUAAUUCUGCUUUUUUUUUUUUUUUUUUAUUAAAAUAUAACAGUCAGUUCGUUGUAGCUUUUUAAAAUGCAUUAGUUUAUUUUUACAGUAAACGCCUGUCUAAGUCAUGACUACGAUUUUGGCACGUUUGACACUCCAUACAAACCUCAGCAGUGUGGAGAAGACACUUGGAGAUUAGGGGGUUGGUGCAACAAAAUGAGUAGGUGCAGUUUGCAGAGUGUAGCUGGAGAAGAUGAGGCCGUUUUCUGAGUGGUUAUUCUAGAGCUCUGUUUGUCACUUUGUUUUUCUUUUGACUGCCACUAAGUGCAUGUUGUAGUGUAAGCUGGAAACAGAUUCUCACCCUUUAUAUAGGCUGUAUCAUAUUCUUGACCCUGACUUUUGUUUAAUAUGAUUACUUGUGAUUGUUUAAAUGGUGUUUUUGAACUCGGUAAAAAAAAAAAAAAAAAAAAAAAAACAUAGUCACAUGUUGGCACUACUGCUACGUCUUUAUAUUGUUUUAAGGGAUGAAUAAAUAGACAGAAGUGAAACCACACGUAUAUUAAGUGUUUCGGCCCCCAAAGUGUUUCCACAUGUCCCCUCAGUACUGAAUGACCAGCAGUGGAAGGUCGUUCUUUCACUGCCUCUCAAUGCAGUAAUUACUCGAACAACUACUACUCAGAUAUCUGCCUGUAUGCUGAAUGUUUUCUCUUGUGGAACAUUCUUCCCUGUGCAUGCCCUCUGCUGUGUGUCGUUGCACUGUGAUCGCCUCACACCCGUCUUGAUUGAUUCCUCAUGCAUGCAUGCAUGGUGUCUCAUUCAGAUUUCUGGGCGGUAAAAGCCAAAAUAUGCAACUUUUCUAUUAGAGAUGCUAGCUGUUAGCCUUCACUCUGUCAACUGGGUGGGUUUUCACACAGGCGCUGAGAAAGCAGACAGUGUGUAUGAAGGAUAAUCAGGCCUGCAUACAGAGUGAUAAUGUUGUUCUAUUUAUUUAUUUGAAUGUGACUAAGUUGCAUAUUGUAGCUUUAAACGGCAUGUCGUCAUUUUCAUUUGACUCGAUACAAGCUACUGGAACACUUUUUUUUGUUUAGUCUGUUUAUGUUUGGGGUCAGAUCAACCAAAUGAAAUCAUUUUAAGAAUCCUUUACUUACCUCUUGCCAUGCGUGUGUUUUGGUUGUAUUUAAUUUCUCCUGAUGGGUGAAAACAAGGCUCUUGUCACAGAUCGUUUAGGCUGAAUAAAAUCAGAAUUAGAAGCACAAUUACAUCUGUGACUUUUAGUAAUUCUUUCUACAGAAAAAACAUUGCUGACAGUGUGUUGUCUGCUUCAAAUACAGUAUUUAAAAAAAUCUCAAUGGUGUCAUCGCCAGCUAAGAAGUGUUUUCUUGUUACUUGGCAUAAGCCACAGCACACAGUACAGCAGUUUCUUCUGUAGAAAGAGUCAAUUCAUCUCCACUAGUUUCCUCUGUGUUGUGGUGGAGGUAGAAAUCUGAAGCUGAAGACGAUAAAACACAAGUCUGUUUUCUGGAGGAAUUGUUUGCAAUCAAAUGUACCCGCAUGCUAGACAGCACUGGAGGCAAAUGUAAUGUUCUGAGUAAACUGAUUCUGACCUCACCCCGCAAGUAUUCUGCUUUCAAAGCUCAUUUGCUUUUCAGAUGCACUGCACCUUUAAGGUAAACUUCAGUCCAGGCCGUGCUACCUGUGUUAGCAUGCUACAAAAGGCUAGAUAGAUAAAUAAGUUGGCGUACUUUGUUAGUGUAAUAUAUGAUAUGAAUAAAAGUCGACAUAUUUCCUCCCGUUCCCUCACAGCAUGUUGCUUUUCUUCUUUAUCCUGUUUGUCUCUGUUUUCAUCAGGUAUGGGAGUGUGUGGCAGGAGUGUGUUUGAUUUCUUUUUUUUUUUGUCUUUAGUGUUUUUGCUUUGGACUCUUUACUGAUAUCUAGACAUUGUUCACUAACAUCAGCUCUGUUUUGUAUUAGCUAUGACUUUGGUUCCAAUUUUUGAAGCUUUGAGGAAGAUGUUGCAGGAAAAGAAAAAAAGAAAAUUGAGAAAAAAGUAUGUGGUCUCUGUACUGAUGUCAAAGUGAAAUUAAUAAAAACACCUCAAAGGUCUGUUGCUCAUGGCUAUGUUUGUUAUUUUGAGAUAAAAACAACAUACUUUCUCCCAGUAGGAAUGCAGUGUGGGACGGUGGAGGAUUAAAAAUGCACCCAGAUGUAAUAUCUAUAAUAAGAAGAUUUGACUUGAGAGGCUGCUUUCUGUUAUGGUGUUUGGGUGGAGAGAGGAUUCUAGUUUCUAAUUUUAGAACAGGCCAGUUGUUAGUCACAUGCACACUUGACAUCCCAUUGAAAGCCUGUGUGGUAUUACAUAAUAGAAUCCAAGCCACAUAUUGGUAAAUCUUUAAUGAAACCUUGUCAAGUUAGUUACAGAUGAGCAUACAUUGAGGGCAGUGACUGAAAAUCUAUCUUAAUCUGUUACCAAACUUGGAAAAGUAUAUUUUAUUGACUGCUAUACUUGUUUUUUUUUUUUUUUUGUAGCCAAUAUUUUUUACAUAGUCGCAUUAGUAAGGCCUACAGUUGUUUUAGUAGGUCUUUAAUUUAUUGACAUGUAUAGUACCAGUCAAAAGUUUGGACACACCUUCUCAUUUAAUGAUUUUUCUUUAUUUUCAUGACUAUUUACAUUGCAGAUUCUCACUGAAGGCAUCAAAAUUAUGAAUCAACACAUACAGAAUUAUGUAGUAAACAAAAAAAUGUGAAGUAAGUCAAAACAUGUUGUAGAUUUGAGAUUAUUCAAAAUAUUUAAAAGUCCAAUGACCAUGACUAAUUAUGUGAAGUUACAUGUUAAAUUUGACAAAAAGUCACCAUGUUCAAAAUUAUUCAUACCUUCAGUGAUACCAAGACAGAUAGUCAUAGGAUGUUCAAACAAAGCGUCCUCUCCAAGGUUCUAAAGUCUUUAAUAUUGUUUUCAAUGUUUCUGAGCUGUUGUUUUUUUUUUGUUUUGUUUUGUUUUUUAACCAGUUUUCUGACUGUAAAAGUCGACUUGCUUGUGACAUUUCAGUCAUUUUCAAGUCAACGCAAGACUUGCCAUGGCAAAGACCAAACUGCCAAAUAAUUUCAGGUGCCAGUGGCAACAGUGCUAACUAGUGUCAACAAGACGCACCAAUAAUUUCACACAGUCAAAAACCUCAAAGGAUGUGCUGAAGAAAUGGUUCCAGGACAAUGACAUUAAUGUUAUGAAGUGGCCAAGUCACAGUCUUGACUUGAACCCCAUUGAGAACCUAUGGAUGGAGCUCAAGAAAUGGGUGACAGCAUAGAAACCUUCCAACCUCAAGGAUCUUGAAACAUUUGUGAAGGAGGAACGGUCCAAAAUUCCUGCAGAUGCUUGCAAGAAGCUUGUGAGCAACAACAACAAAAAUCGUUUAGAGGCUGUGAUUAACAGAAGGGGUUUGCAAUUGAUUAUUGCGACACAAUUUUGGACAGUGUGAUUUUUUUGUUUUCACCCUGUUAACCCUUUGAUACGCAGCGUGGGUCAGGAGAUGCCCAUUUUCCAUUGGAUUUAGGUCACUUUGGACCCAUGUUGCGCAUCAAAGGGUUAAAGAUGUUUCUUUACACUUUCUACCUUAAAUAAAUUGGCUAUGGCUUCAGGC
Molecule: long non-coding RNA, 4792 nt
Organism: Amphiprion ocellaris (clown anemonefish)
Lineage: Eukaryota; Metazoa; Chordata; Actinopteri; Pomacentridae
Exons: 2
Source: RefSeq, a predicted model, not a curated record